This 861-nucleotide long non-coding RNA is filed under the name Carassius auratus (goldfish). Its description in RNAcentral is "lncRNA (ENSCARG00000049780.1)". The record is from RNAcentral. Lineage: Eukaryota; Metazoa; Chordata; Actinopteri; Cypriniformes; Cyprinidae.
GUCAGAUUUGCAAGAUAUAAACUAGUAAUUAUGAAGAAAAAAGUGAGGACUCUAAAUGUAAUACUUAAUCUGAAUUUAAACUGAAUUUUCUCUCAAAAUGCUUAGUUUAAGAGAUAUACUAGAAUAAAAUUCAGAAUUGUGAGAUUGUUUUAAAAAAAAAAAAAUUCCAUAGUGGAAAUGCAUCUCUAUACGUUACCCUGCCAUGUAGCUUUGCUAAUUAUUGUUCUGAUGCAUCAAGCUGUGGCACUUGCUCAAUAAAGACAAUGUAACUUCAAAUUAGAAUGAUUAAAAGAUCAAACAUAUAUCAUAAAAAAAUGUAACAAAAAAAUGUUAAUUGUGCAACCGACAACUGACAGUAAUCAAAGCCUCUGUUUACAAUAUCCCAUCAAACUGUGACGGAUUGCAAAGUUUAAACCUUUAAACAUAUACUUUGUUUGUUUGUUGACAGCUGUUUUCCUUGCACUCUGCCCAUUUUCUCCUGAUCUGUUUGGAUCAGUGUGUUAUUAUGAAUGAACGCAGAGCUGUGUUUAUGAAUGCACAAUCACAGCAGGAGAGCAGCGAGACGGAGACAGUCAGAGACGAGCCGAGAGCGAGAGAUACAUGAGUAUUAAUGUAAGCUAUGGAACCUAUAAUCAUACGCAGCGUUCUCAAACUAAUUUCGAUUGCUGGUGAGAAGCGGCCCACCUUAGAGAGAGCAGAUCUGACAGACUCCUGUGUGAAAGGAAAAUCUGCUGAAUUCUGGAGGAGACAGGGUGUUAUGGAUGCUUCUGCUUUGUCUUACAGUGUUGGAUUUGCCAUUUAAACUGAGAAUGAAAUGCAAGAAGUCUGUUUGCAGAGGUGACUGCUCUUGACAGAUUUCCC